GCAGUCUUUAAAUUGAUAUCUAUGAGCUACAGUACCAUGCAUCUAAAAUAUCCAGAGGAAAGCACCGCACCUCAGCUGAAAAGAAGUGACCAACUAGUACUUCUAUUCCCCAACCUAACAGACCAUCCACCAUCGUUAUCCCUAUUCCCCAUCACACGGAAGCAGACCAACCCAGCAAACUUUUCCAGAACCAAGCUGCCGAGCCAUGGAGAUCACCUAGGAGGACUAGCGCCCAGACCUUUGGCUGGAGCAGAGCAAGUCGUCCAUCAAGGCAAGGAGAUGGAGAAGAGGAAAAGACCAACACAUCUCUGAUCGGUUCUUCUUCAUCUUUGAUCUUGAGUACAGAGCAAGUGCCGAGACGAUGAAGAUCUCCAACGACGCAGAUCAAUAAUUGUCCACCGACGAACAAGUCAAGCAUGGGAUCUCCGAAGAUCCACAUUGGUUUGUCAGGGACAAAGGCAAGCCCUAGCCUGGUUCAUAUUAUGAUUUCGAAAUGCUUUUACUUCUGGUUCCUACAUAUCGCAUUCGUUUCAAAUAUGUUUUAUCGGCAGGUAUAGUUAUCCUAUGUAUGUUGCAUUUACCAUCCUUGUAGCCUAAAUACUCUGA
Long non-coding RNA from Lolium perenne, 606 nucleotides. RefSeq lists it as uncharacterized. NCBI's taxonomy places the organism in Eukaryota, Viridiplantae, Streptophyta, Magnoliopsida, Poales, Poaceae. The record is from RefSeq and is a predicted model, not a curated record.